RNAcentral lists this long non-coding RNA (531 nucleotides) under Homo sapiens (human). RNAcentral describes it as "non-protein coding lnc-RETSAT-1:3". The record is from RNAcentral. Lineage: Eukaryota; Metazoa; Chordata; Mammalia; Primates; Hominidae.
GGAACAGUGAUUCCCAUUGAUCCUUGUUCCCUCCGUGGGUCACAGAGUCCAGAACUUAAGAGCCACCCAAGAUCUGAAGACAGCAUGUACACAGCCAUUCCCCAGAGUGGCUCUCCAUUCCCAGGCUCAGUGCAGGAUCCAGGCCUGCAUGUGUGGCGGGUGGAGAAGCUGAAGCCGGUGCCUGUGGCGCAAGAGAACCAGGGCGUCUUCUUCUCGGGGGACUCCUACCUAGUGCUGCACAAUGGCCCAGAAGAGGUUUCCCAUCUGCACCUGUGGAUAGGCCAGCAGUCAUCCCGGGAUGAGCAGGGGGCCUGUGCAGGGCAAUGAGUCUGACCUCUUCAUGAGCUACUUCCCACGGGGCCUCAAGUACCAGGAAGGUGGUGUGGAGUCAGCAUUUCACAAGACCUCCACAGGAGCCCCAGCUGCCAUCAAGAAACUCUACCAGGUGAAGGGGAAGAAGAACAUCCGUGCCACCGAGCGGGCACUGAACUGGGACAGCUUCAACACUGGGGACUGCUUCAUCCUGGACCU